UACAGAGGUCCCAAGCGUUGUUCGGAUUCACUGGGCGUAAAGGGUGCGUAGGUGGUCGGGUAAGUCUGAUGUGAAAUCUCUGGGCUCAACCCAGAAAUGGCAUUGGAUACUAUUCGACUAGAGGAGUGGAGGGGGGACUGGAAUACUUGGUGUAGCAGUGAAAUGCGUAGAUAUCAAGUGGAACACCAGUGGCGAAGGCGAGUCCCUGGACACUUCCUGACACUGAGGCACGAAAGCUAGGGGAGCAAACAGG
RNAcentral lists this ribosomal RNA (253 nucleotides) under uncultured bacterium. RNAcentral describes it as "partial 16S ribosomal RNA". It matches the Rfam family "Bacterial small subunit ribosomal RNA", at positions 524 to 776 of the family's 1533-position model. The record is from RNAcentral.